GGGCCCAUAGCUCAGCGGCCAGAGCCGCCGGCUCAUAACCGGUCAGACCCAGGUUCGAAUCCUGGUGGGCCCA
This 73-nucleotide transfer RNA is filed under the name Acidobacteriota bacterium. Its description in RNAcentral is "Acidobacteria bacterium (soil metagenome) tRNA-Ile". It matches the Rfam family "tRNA". From Rfam's summary of the family: Transfer RNA (tRNA) molecules are approximately 80 nucleotides in length. Their secondary structure includes four short double-helical elements and three loops (D, anti-codon, and T loops). The record is from RNAcentral. Lineage: Bacteria; Pseudomonadati; Acidobacteriota.